GGGGUCGACUGGAUUUGACAGCGAUUUAGUAAUAUUGGUAAGCAAAUCGAGCGAUUAGUUAUAGCUCGUUAAUAUCAACUAAAAACUUUAAAUGGCGAAAAUAAAUACGCUCUUGCUGCUUAAGACUGAAUUAUAGUAGGUUUUAGCCACGUCCUACCAGGUAGGAAAGCGAGAUGUCUCAAAGUUAUUUUUGUUGGCAAUAACUUUAUAUGAGAUACCAUAAUGUUAACAUAGAAUAACUAAUGCUUCGAUAGUUAUUUGAAAUUUUGAAGCUAAGUAGUGUUUGUGUAGUUUUCAGCUAGAACACUAUCGAAAACUAAGUGAAAACUAAAUUUGUAGAAAGCUGAUGUUUCAGUCGUUUGGACGAGGGUUCGAAUCCCUCCGACUCCACCA
This 393-nucleotide transfer-messenger RNA is filed under the name Flavobacteriaceae. Its description in RNAcentral is "MED-G14 sp002697465 Standard tmRNA". It matches the Rfam family "transfer-messenger RNA". Rfam says of the family: Bacterial tmRNA, also known as 10Sa RNA or SsrA, is named for its dual tRNA and mRNA-like properties. Its role is to liberate the mRNA from a stalled ribosome. To accomplish this part of the tmRNA is used as a reading frame that ends in a translation stop signal. Lineage: Bacteria; Pseudomonadati; Bacteroidota; Flavobacteriia; Flavobacteriales. RNAcentral also lists the same sequence under 1 other name. The record is from RNAcentral.